UUGGAGGGCAAGUCUGGUGCCCGCAGCCGCGGUAAUUCCAGCUCCAAUAGCGUAUAUUAAAGUUGUUGCAGUUAAAAAGCUCGUAGUUGAAUUUCGGGGUUAGUAGGUUGGUCAUGCCUCUGGUAUGUACUGGUCUCACUGAUUCCUCCUUCCUGAUGAGCCGUAAUGCCAUUAAUUUGGCGUUGCGGGGAAUUUGGACUGUUACUUUGAAAAAAUUAGAGUGUUUAAAGCAAGCUAACGCUUGAAUACAUUAGCAUGGAAUAAUGAAAUAGGACGUUCGAUCCUAUUUUGUUGGUUUCUAGGAUUGACGUAAUGAUUAAUAGGGAUAGUUGGGGGCAUUAGUAUUCAAUUGUCAGAGGUGAAAUUCUUGGAUUUAUUGAAGACUAACUACUGCGAAAGCAUUUGCCAAGGAUGUUUUCAUUAAUCAAGAACGAAAGUUAGGGGAUCGAAGACGAUCAGAUACCGUCGUAGUCUUAACCAUAAACUAUGCCGACUAGGGAUCGGAUGAUGUUAAUUUUUUAAUGACUCAUUCGGCGCCUUACGGGAAAC
Molecule: ribosomal RNA, 549 nt
Filed under: uncultured Glomeromycotina
Lineage: Eukaryota; Fungi; Glomeromycota
Description: SSU rRNA
Rfam family: Eukaryotic small subunit ribosomal RNA
Source: RNAcentral